This is a non-coding RNA of Danio rerio (zebrafish), 256 nucleotides long. The record is from Ensembl. Lineage: Eukaryota; Metazoa; Chordata; Actinopteri; Cypriniformes; Danionidae.
ACAGAAUCCAGUCAGAUGGAAGCAAGACGCCAGAGCCGGAUUUCUGUACAUUCAUUUGCACAGUACUGUACAACAAGUUUCCUUUGCUGAGUUCCUUGGUCAGGGGUUUAAACACAUUUUCUGUCCAGUACUGCAGUUGGAAUUUUCCAUCAACUUUUUAUGACAACCGAUGUCCAUCUCAAAAGAGCGUCUAUUCUUCAAGCUCUCUUUACUUACCUUGGUGAGGAUGAGGCAUGCCUGGUGAAAGAAUACAUGG